Molecule: ribosomal RNA, 802 nt
Filed under: uncultured bacterium
Lineage: Bacteria
Description: bacterial SSU rRNA
Rfam family: Bacterial small subunit ribosomal RNA
Source: RNAcentral
AGAGUUUGAUCAUGGCUCAGGACGAACGCUGGCGGCGUGCUUAACACAUGCAAGUGGUGCGACGAACCAGGCUUCGGCCUGGGGCAGAGCCGCGAACGGGUGAGUAACACGUGGGUAACCUGCCCCGAUGACUGGGACAACCCGGGGAAACCCGGGCUAAUACCGGAUGAGCUCUCCGCCCUUCCGGGCGGUGAGGAAAGGUAGCUUCGGCCUCCGCAUUGGGAUGGGCCCGCGGCCCAUUAGCUUGUUGGUGUGGUAACGGCUCACCAAGGCAACGAUGGGUAGCUGGUCUGAGAGGACGAUCAGCCACACUGGGACUGAGACACGGCCCAGACUCCUACGGGAGGCAGCAGUGGGGAAUCUUGCGCAAUGCGCGAAAGCGUGACGCAGCAACGCCGCGUGGGGGAAGAAGGCCUUCGGGUUGUAAACCCCUUUCAGUUGGGACGAAGCCUUCCCUGGUUAAGAGCUAGGGGGGUGACGGUACCUUCAGAAGAAGCCCCGGCUAACUACGUGCCAGCAGCCGCGGUAAUACGUAGGGGGCAAGCGUUGUCCGGAAUCAUUGGGCGUAAAGAGCGUGUAGGCGGCUCGAUAAGUCUGCUGUGAAAGUCCAGGGCUCAACCCUGGAAGGCCGGUGGAAACUGUCGGGCUAGAGUCCGGAAGAGGCGAGUGGAAUUCCCGGUGUAGCGGUGAAAUGCGCAGAUAUCGGGAGGAACACCAAUGGCGAAGGCAGCUCGCUGGGACGGUACUGACGCUGAGACGCGAAAGCGUGGGGAGCAAACAGGAUUAGAUACCCUAGUAGUCC